GUCUACGGCCAUACCACCCUGAACGCGCCCAAUCUGGUCUGAUCUCGGAAGCUAAGCAGGUCGGGCCUGGUUAGUACUUGGAUGGGAGAAUUCUGGGAAGUAUGGAAA
Molecule: ribosomal RNA, 108 nt
Organism: Macaca nemestrina (pig-tailed macaque)
Lineage: Eukaryota; Metazoa; Chordata; Mammalia; Primates; Cercopithecidae
Source: Ensembl